GAUGAACGCUGGCGGCGUGCCUAAUACAUGCAAGUAGAACGCUGAAGGAGGAGCUUGCUCUUCUGGAUGAGUUGCGAACGGGUGAGUAACGCGUAGGUAACCUGCCUGGUAGCGGGGGAUAACUAUUGGAAACGAUAGCUAAUACCGCAUGACAACAGUUAUUGCAUGAUAACUGUUUAAAAGGGGCAACUGCUCCACUACCAGAUGGACCUGCGUUGUAUUAGCUAGUUGGUGAGGUAACGGCUCACCAAGGCGACGAUACAUAGCCGACCUGAGAGGGUGGUCGGCCACACUGGGACGGAGACACGGCCCAGACUCCUACGGGAGGGAGCAGUAGGGAAGCUUCGGCAAUGGACGGAAGGCUGACCGAGCAACGCCGCGGGAGGGAAGAAGGGUUUCGGAUCGGAAAGCUCGGUUGUAAGAGAAGAACGAGUGUGAGAGUGGAAAGUUCACACUGUGACGGUAUCUGACCAGAAAGGGACGGCUAACUACGUG
This 495-nucleotide ribosomal RNA is filed under the name uncultured bacterium. Its description in RNAcentral is "partial 16S ribosomal RNA". It matches the Rfam family "Bacterial small subunit ribosomal RNA", at positions 28 to 507 of the family's 1533-position model. The record is from RNAcentral.